Molecule: long non-coding RNA, 1241 nt
Organism: Motacilla alba alba
Lineage: Eukaryota; Metazoa; Chordata; Aves; Passeriformes; Motacillidae
Exons: 3
Source: RefSeq, a predicted model, not a curated record
CGGAGAGCACAUCCUGGGCCACCUUUAUAUGUCCUGAUUCAGGCCUGCCAUUUGAAGCACUUGGAACAAAGCAACACGGACCCCCUUAUGUAUCCGAAGGAGAUCGCUUUAUUAUAAAAAUAGGCCGCUGUUUAUACCUUUAACCUCAACCUGACAUAAUGGAAACCAAACCAAGGCCUAACAGAACUUAACAGAAGGAGGGCACCCAUUGGCUGGCUCAGCUGCAGUGCUGCUAUCGUGUCCUACCAUCCAAUCAGCUUGCUGUUCAUACAAUAUCCACCUGCCCUACCAUCCAAUCAGCUUCCGGCUCAUACGCUGUCCACAUGUUCCUGCAGCCAAUCACCAUCUCACUCCCAUCUGACUCUCCCCUCACCCCGAUUGCCUCUCAGCCCUCAGCCGACUCCCCGCACCCAGCCGCAGCUGGGCCUUUCCCUCAGGGCCUUCUGGUCAGCACAGGCCUUGGCAACCUUAACAAUUAGAACCCCAUGUCCUACACUCAGUUGUACCACAUUGGAAUCAAACAAAAGACAUAAAUCCAGAUCUGAUUGAGGGGCAGUUACAGAAUGACAAAGAUCCCUACAGCCGGGACUGUGGCUGAAGCUGCUGUGCAGAGUCGCUGUUCAGCUCCUCCUGAGGGGGGCCAGGUUCAGGAGGGAGGUGGUCAAGGUUUCCUUGGACACUGAUGCUGAGGAACCAGAGGAUGGAUGGCCCCAUUCUGCAGAAGAGCAGCAUAACCCCCUAAUCUCUGUGCCAUUAAAUGGUCCAAGCAUCUGGUGAUGGGAAUUUCCAAAUUCCAUGUACUUUCUGGAUACAGGCACAGGAGUUCAGUAGAGUUCACUAUUGACAAACACUUCAUUCAGAAGGAUUUAAUUCUAGAAUUGAAGAAUCCGUCAAAUCCACACUGAAAGGAUAAGGGAAUGUUGCUGUCCCUCCCCAGCUCUGCAGCCCUACCUGGUGUCCCUUCCCAUCAGCUGGGAAUGCAGGGCUGGCUCUGCUGGACAGAAGGGGAAGGAUGCUCCAUGUGAUCCCAGCCCCUCUCCUGCCAGAGAGAGGCACCAGCCCUGCAGGGAUUUGGGAACUCAUCACCACUCCAUGCUGGGAGUGUCCCCAGGGAUUAAUGUUUCCCAUUCUCUGCAGGCAAGAGCUCCCUGCAAACACCAUGAGACUCAUCAGCUGAGCCAAAGGAGAUGGAGUUCAUUCCCUGGGGCUGAGUCCAUGAGGGUCAUUCCAUGGGGAAUAGA